GACGUAGGGCGCGAGCGUUGUCCGGAUUUAUUGGGCGUAAAGAGCUCGUAGGCGGCUUGUCGCGUCGACUGUGAAAACCCGUGGCUCAACCAUGUGGUCUGCAGUCGAUACGGGCAGGCUAGAAUUCGGUAGGGGAGACUGGAAUUCCUGGUGUAGCGGUGAAAUGCGCAGAUAUCAGGAGGAACACCGGUGGCGAAGGCGGAUCUCUGGGCCGUAACUGACGCUGAGGAGCGAAAGCAUGGGGAGCGAACAGG
Molecule: ribosomal RNA, 254 nt
Filed under: uncultured bacterium
Lineage: Bacteria
Description: partial 16S ribosomal RNA
Rfam family: Bacterial small subunit ribosomal RNA
Source: RNAcentral